RNAcentral lists this ribosomal RNA (972 nucleotides) under Escherichia coli. RNAcentral describes it as "partial 23S ribosomal RNA". It matches the Rfam family "Bacterial large subunit ribosomal RNA", at positions 1920 to 2886 of the family's 2925-position model. The record is from RNAcentral. Lineage: Bacteria; Pseudomonadati; Pseudomonadota; Gammaproteobacteria; Enterobacterales; Enterobacteriaceae.
CCGGUAAACGGCGGCCGUAACUAUAACGGUCCUAAGGUAGCGAAAUUCCUUGUCGGGUAAGUUCCGACCUGCACGAAUGGCGUAAUGAUGGCCAGGCUGUCUCCACCCGAGACUCAGUGAAAUUGAACUCGCUGUGAAGAUGCAGUGUACCCGCGGCAAGACGGAAAGACCCCGUGAACCUUUACUAUAGCUUGACACUGAACAUUGAGCCUUGAUGUGUAGGAUAGGUGGGAGGCUUUGAAGUGUGGACGCCAGUCUGCAUGGAGCCGACCUUGAAAUACCACCCUUUAAUGUUUGAUGUUCUAACGUUGACCCGUAAUCCGGGUUGCGGACAGUGUCUGGUGGGUAGUUUGACUGGGGCGGUCUCCUCCUAAAGAGUAACGGAGGAGCACGAAGGUUGGCUAAUCCUGGUCGGACAUCAGGAGGUUAGUGCAAUGGCAUAAGCCAGCUUGACUGCGAGCGUGACGGCGCGAGCAGGUGCGAAAGCAGGUCAUAGUGAUCCGGUGGUUCUGAAUGGAAGGGCCAUCGCUCAACGGAUAAAAGGUACUCCGGGGAUAACAGGCUGAUACCGCCCAAGAGUUCAUAUCGACGGCGGUGUUUGGCACCUCGAUGUCGGCUCAUCACAUCCUGGGGCUGAAGUAGGUCCCAAGGGUAUGGCUGUUCGCCAUUUAAAGUGGUACGCGAGCUGGGUUUAGAACGUCGUGAGACAGUUCGGUCCCUAUCUGCCGUGGGCGCUGGAGAAUUGAGGGGGGCUGCUCCUAGUACGAGAGGACCGGAGUGGACGCAUCACUGGUGUUCGGGUUGUCAUGCCAAUGGCACUGCCCGGUAGCUAAAUGCGGAAGAGAUAAGUGCUGAAAGCAUCUAAGCACGAAACUUGCCCCGAGAUGAGUUCUCCCUGACUCCUUGAGAGUCCUGAAGGAACGUUGAAGACGACGACGUUGAUAGGCCGGGUGUGUAAGCGCAGCGAUGCGU